Molecule: ribosomal RNA, 407 nt
Filed under: uncultured bacterium
Lineage: Bacteria
Description: bacterial SSU rRNA
Rfam family: Bacterial small subunit ribosomal RNA
Source: RNAcentral
GGACCCGCACAAGUAGUGGAGCAUGUGGUUUAAUUCGAAGAUACGCGCAGAACCUUACCAACACUUGACAUGUUCGUCGCGACUCUGAGAGAUCAGAGUUUUCGGUUCGGCCGGACGAAACACAGGUGCUGCAUGGCUGUCGUCAGCUCGUGUCGUGAGAUGUUGGGUUAAGUCCCGCAACGAGCGCAACCCUCACUUUUAGUUGCCAUCAUUAAGUUGGGCACUCUGAAAGAACUGCCAGUGAUAAGCUGGAGGAAGGUGGGGAUGACGUCAAGUCCUCAUGGCCCUUACGUGUUGGGCUACACACGUGCUACAAUGGCAGGUACAGAGGGCAGCGAAGUCGCGAGGCUAAGCAAAUCUCAAAAGCCUGUCCCAGUUCGGAUUGGAGUCUGGAACUCGACUCCAUG